This 672-nucleotide ribosomal RNA is filed under the name uncultured bacterium. RNAcentral's name for it is "bacterial SSU rRNA". It matches the Rfam family "Bacterial small subunit ribosomal RNA", at positions 139 to 808 of the family's 1533-position model. The record is from RNAcentral.
GGGGAUAACCCGGAGAAAUCCGGCCUAAUACCGCGUAACACCUUUUGGGAGCAUUCCCGGGAGGUUAAAGGAGAGAUCCGGCAUAGGAUGGACAUGCGUCGCAUUAGGUAGACGGCGGGGUAACGGCCCACCGUGCCGACGAUGCGUAGGGGUUCUGAGAGGAAGGCCCCCCACACUGGUACUGAGACACGGACCAGACUCCUACGGGAGGCAGCAGUGAGGAAUAUUGGUCAAUGGCCGAGAGGCUGAACCAGCCAAGUCGCGUGAGGGAAGAAUGUCCUAAGGAUUGUAAACCUCUUUUGUCGGGGAGCAAAAAGGCUCUGCGGAGUCGUAUUGAGAGUACCCGAAGAAAAAGCAUCGGCUAACUCCGUGCCAGCAGCCGCGGUAAUACGGAGGAUGCGAGCGUUAUCCGGAUUUAUUGGGUUUAAAGGGUGCGCAGGCGGCGUGUCAAGCAAGCGGUAAAAUAGCGGGGCUCAACCCCGUCGAGCCGUUUGAACUGGCGCGCUUGGGUUCAGGCGAGGUAGGCGGAAUUCGUGGUGUAGCGGUGAAAUGCAUAGAUAUCACGAAGAACUCCGAUUGCGAAGGCAGCUUACCAGUCUGCGACUGACGCUCAGGCACGAAAGUGUGGGUAUCGAACAGGAUUAGAUACCCUGGUAGUCCACACAGUAAACG